UAAUGGUAUGUAGGUCAAGGACUUGUCGUGGUUUAAAGACACUACUUUUGGAGCGUGUUGUCAUUGGAUGUCAAGGGGCUAUAGGGUGUGUUGUAGGUAUGGGCAGUGGAGAGGCACUAACAUGGAUUAGGGUAGGCUGAGGGACUUCAAUGUCAUUGGUCCCAAGAGAGGAUAAAGGUAGUGAUUGUGUUUCCGAGGAUACGCCUUCAAUCGUAGGGGAAUC
This 223-nucleotide long non-coding RNA is filed under the name Musa acuminata (dwarf banana). Its description in RNAcentral is "long non-coding RNA (MACU_LNC010701)". The record is from RNAcentral. Lineage: Eukaryota; Viridiplantae; Streptophyta; Magnoliopsida; Zingiberales; Musaceae.